GCAGACACAUUCCAGCCAAUCAGCAGCAGACCCUCCCUCCCAGACCCUCCCACCUCCUGGACAGCAUCCAUUUUACAUUCAUUGUGAAUCUGCAUUCUUAGUGAGCUGUCCAGGAGGUGGGAGGGUCUGGGAGGGAGGGUCUGCUGCUGACUGGCUGGAAUGUGUCUG
Molecule: microRNA precursor, 168 nt
Filed under: Pelobates cultripes (western spadefoot toad)
Lineage: Eukaryota; Metazoa; Chordata; Amphibia; Anura; Pelobatidae
Source: RNAcentral